AGUACAGACGAGUUUGAUCAUGGCUCAGAAUCAACGCUGGCGGCGUGCCUCAGACAUGCAAGUCGAACGAUUAAAGCUCUCUUCGGAGAGUGUAUAGAGUGGCGCACGGGUGAGUAACACGUAAGUAAUCUACCCUCGAGUGGGGAAUAACAACCGGAAACGGUUGCUAAUACCGCAUAAUGCAGCGGCACCGCAAGGUGACAGUUGUUAAAGAUUUAUCGCUUGAGGAGGAGCUUGCGGCAGAUUAGCUAGUUGGUAGGGUAACGGCUUUACCAAGGCUACGAUCUGUAACCGGUCUAAGAGGACGGUCGGUCACACUGACACUGAAUAACGGGUCAGACUCCUACGGGAGGCAGCAGUCGGGAAUUUUGGGCAAUGGGCGAAAGCCUGACCCAGCAACGCCGCGUGAAGGAUGAAGUAUUUCGGUAUGUAAACUUCGAAAGAAUAGGAAGAAUUAAUGACGGUACUAUUUAUAAGGUCCGGCUAACUACGUG
RNAcentral lists this ribosomal RNA (494 nucleotides) under uncultured bacterium. Its description in RNAcentral is "bacterial SSU rRNA". It matches the Rfam family "Bacterial small subunit ribosomal RNA", at positions 1 to 507 of the family's 1533-position model. The record is from RNAcentral.